GAUUUCUUGUCAGAAACAUUUCCAAGCAUUUGAUUCUAAUAUUAUCAUUGCCACUUUGCCAAAAUGUGGCACUACUUGGCUUAAAGCUUUGACUUUCUCCACUUUGUACCGCAAUCAGUUCGCAAGGGAAAAUAAUCCCUUGCUCACCUAUAACCCUCACUCUCUUGUUCGCUUCAUUGGUUAUGACUUCUAUUUCAACGACAGUUGUCCUGAUCUCGAAAAUUGUACACUUUAUCAGCCAAGACUUUUUUCUAUCCACUUGCCUUAUGCUUCUUUGCCAACUUCCAUUAAAGAUUCCAACUAUAAGAUUGUUUACUUAUGUAGAAACCCCAUGGACACACUCAUUUCUUUUUGGUCUUUCUUUUCCAGGCUUUGAGGUGAAGGCUUUGAGCCAGUAUCACUAGACGAAGCUUUUGAGAUGUUCUGCCAAGGAAUCAUUCAAUUUGGACCAUUUUUCGAUCAUGUGUUAGGGUAUUAGAGGGCAAGCCAAGAAAGAUCGAGCAAAAUAUUGUUUUUACAGUAUGAAUAUCUCAAGGAAGACAUCAAUUCUCACCUAAAAAAGUUGGCAAUGUUUUUGGGGGUUCCUUUCACUGAGGAAGAAGAGAAACAAGGAGUUGUUGAAGAAAUUGCGAAAAUUUGCAGCUUUGAGAACAUGAAAGACUUGGAAGUGAAUAAGAAGGGCAUGCAAACUUUUGGGUAUCCACAAGAAACUUUCUCAAGGAAAACAAAGACUUUUGAGGUUCCAUGUGAAGCUUUCUUCAGAAAAGCAAAAAUGGGAGAUUGGAGCAAUUAUCUCACACCCUUCAUGGUUGAACGUCUAGAGAAACUUAUUAAAGAGAAAUUGGAAAACUCUGGUUUAACAUUUAAAUUGUUCUCUAAAACUUCAAAAGAUAUUACUUCUACAUGAUCAGGGAUGUAUGUCUAUUGGCUUUAAUUUAUGAUGAAUAAAUUCCAUAUUUGCAUGUAGAGAGUCUUUCCCUCGCAAAAUAAGGUUAUAUAAUAAUAUUGAGGUUAAGAUAUGCUUUUAGUCCCUAUGUCUAUCCAGAAUUUGAGAUUUAGUUACUAUAUUUUAAAACUUAAAAUUUUAAGCCUCUUAUUUUUUCAAUUUAACGAGUUUAAUCUAAUCAUUAUCAUUGUUUGUAAUUUCUGUCAAGACUUGUCAACUUAAUAUGUUUCUUUUUUUGUCAAUCAUGUGCAAUGUCAUAAGAAGGCAAUCUAAUUAGCAUGCCGAAUUGGCAAAUUUUGAUGGGAAAUACUAAUAAUGUUAAUGAUUGGAUUGAAAUUUUUAAAUAAAAAAUUAAAAGAAUUUCACUAUCAACUAUUUAAAUAUAAUGACUAAAUUUCAGAUCUUGUCUAUAUAUAGGGACCCAAUAUUAUUCCAAGGACAUGUAAUAUAGUUAUCUUAUUGUAAGGUUAUGGUUUACGAAUAUCUAUAUAUCUAGAUAUAAUAAAACCAACUCGUUUGAGAGCCCACUAGGAAUAAAUGGUGCUAUUGUGAUAAGUUGUUAAGAGUAAAUAAGUUUAUUGUUGUGAUUUUAAAUUAUUUUUCACAUAAUUUUUGUAAUUGAUUAUCUGUUUAAAAUUGUUAAGUAAAAAAAAACUAAAGAGAUUUUCUCAAAAAUAAAACCAAUUAACUAAUCACGCAAAGUAACCAAAAACAUAUCACCACUUCGCUUAUGCAAAGACUCAAAAACGGGACUAAAGAAUAUAGAGAAGCUUAACUAGUGAAUCAACAGGCUUAUUCUUGAUACAAAAGACAGAGAAUUGAACGUAAAGAAGGGACCUAGGCUAAGGUUCAAAUAAAUAAAUUACAAAUUACAAAAUUAGUACAACUUGAAUCUCAAUCACAAGUAAGCAAACAAAACACACAACCACAAAAGCAUAUAUAUAUAUAUAUAUAUUUAUUUGUUUAGCUCUAUUAUUAUUAUUAUUAUUAUUUUGUUUAACUUUAUCAUCAAUCAGAUUUCCCUUUCCAUACCCUACCAACCACCACCUGCUGUUGUGUUCAGUGUUACCAGAUUUACUCUAGUCUUCCUCUCCACAUUCUUUCAAUACAUCUCAUUUACUUGUCUGCAAUAUUUUCUCUUUCCAUAACAAAAAAAAAACUCUCUAGACACUAUUAAUGAUUUAAUGGAAUAAUAAUCAAAAUAUUGAAUGCGGAUAGCAUUAGAGACAAAAAUAAUUUUUUUUAGACUUGAAUGAUAAACUAAAACACUUUAAUUAAUAAUUAAGCGAAUACUGGUCUAUAUCUAAAAGUUAAAAAAUAUAAAAACAAAUUUUAUUAAUCAAAUAAUAUCUUAAAAGGAUAACGAACGCAAACAUAUGUUCACAAUCAUUGCACAAAUGAAUUUAAUAAUGCAAUUCAGCAUUAAAGUUUAAUAAUGCAACCAUUCGGCUAAAGACGAAGAUAAUUUCAGUGGUGCAAGAUCUUCUGUAUCCCACAGCAUUAAAUUUUGAUUGCAUUUCCCGUUUGAUAAUAUAAAAUAAAGGAGAUGAUGACCCAAUUUUUAAACGUUUUUAUUUUAGGUAAUAAAAAAAAGUUGUUGAUUAUUUUGACUACUUCCUUUAAAAUUGUAAAUGAAAAUAUAUAUGAAAUUAAUUUUAAAAUUUAGAUUUUUCACACAAUUUAAAAAAAAUAAAAAUUUACCAUUUUAGUCUUCAAUCUUUUAAUAUAAGUGAGGUUUAACUCUUUUCUUAACAAAUUGGGAAUAACAACCACAUCAUCUAUGAAAAAUGGCCUCCUCUUUCAUCUGCUUCGUUGAUUGGAGCAAUGCGUCAUCGUUGCCGCUAACUCUUUGUGGUAGAGGUGACAAAAGUUCGAAAAAAAAUUAAAGGAUAGUAUUAAAACAUCAGACUCAAGAAGGAAAAGAAGAUUGAAAAUAGUCUUUUUUUACGUGUAUAUUAUAAAAAAAAUUAAUAUCAAAACGUUAACAGUGCGCGCGUCACCGUCGACGCUGACUCUUUGUAGUAGAGGUGACAAAAAAUAAAAAAAAAUUAAAAGAUAGUAUUGAAACAUCAAAUUCAAAAAGAAAAAAAAAGAUUGAAAAUAUUAAAUACAAUGUUGAAGUUUCCAAGUCUACCAUUCGCCUCUUCACUUCAAGAUGAUUUACAAAUAAUUUUCUUUUAAAGUCUAUGCUUUUUCUCUUUUUUGUAAUAGUUGUAAUAGUAAAGCUAGAAUUUUUAUACAAAUUUCUAGAUUUUUUAUAUUUGUGAGGAUUUAAGUUUUAGGCAUGGGUUAUUUUUUCUGAAAACUUUGUUAAGUGCUUUGAAUGGUUGCCAAUUCCCCCAUGCCUCUAAUAUUUACAUAACAACAAUGAAAACUCUAAUUAUUAUAUGCCACAAUUAUUACUAGUUAAGGAAGCAGAGCAUGUUAUUUAUGCCCUAAAGACAUUGGAAUUUACUGUGAAUUUUUCAAAUGGUUGUUGUUCUCAAUUUGUUAAGGUGAGAGGUAAACCUCGUUUAUAUAAAAAUAUUGGGACAAAAAUGAACAUUUUUAUAUUAUUUAAAUACCUGAAAAAUUAAAAUUUUAGAAAUAAUUUCACGUUAGAUCUCUGUUCACCAUUUUAAUAUAAGUGAGUAAACUAAUCCAACACAUAUACCUAUUUUUUCGGAUGGCUAAAAUAAAAACAUUUGAAAAUUGGGCGUUUACCCUAAAAUAAAUUAUUAAAACAUAAAAUAUUUGAUAUGGUCUCUUUUUGGUCUACUCCACAAAACUUGCUACAUAAACAGAAAACUAGUUUUGAAUGUUGUUUUUCUUAUCCCUUUCUCAACCAGCUGCCUGUUUCACCAUGGAGAAAACAGAUAUGUGCAACUCUAGCGUCGUUUCCACCUCCCAUGAUGUUGAGGAGUCUUGCGAUGAUGAAUUCCAACAACUGGUGCAAACCUUCCCUAAAGAUAAAAGCUUCACAGGAAUGAAUCUUUACUUCUUCCAAGGUUUCUGGUGCCCAUCAAUUAUUUUAAAAGCUGUGAUUUCUUGUCAGAAACAUUUCCAAGCAUUUAAUUCUGAUAUUAUCAUCGCCACUUUGCCAAAAUGUGGCACUACUUGGCUUAAAGCUUUGACUUUCUCCACUUUGUACCGCAAUCAGUUCGCAAGGGAAAAUAAUCCCUUGCUCACCUAUAACCCUCACUCUCUUGUUCGCUUCAUUGAUUUUGACUUUUAUUUCAACGACACUUGUCCUGAUCUCGAAAAUUAUACUCUUUAUCAGCCAAGACUUUUUUCUAUCCACUUGCCUUAUGCUUCUUUGCCAACUUCCAUUAAAGAUUCCAACUGUAAGAUUGUUUAUUUAUGUAGAAACCCCAUGGACACGCUCAUUUCUUUUUGGUCUUUCCUUUCCAGGCUUCGAGGCGAAGGCUUUGAGCCAGUAUCACUAGAUGAAGCUUUUGAGAUGUUCUGCCAAGGAAUCAAUGAAUUUGGACCAUUUUUCGAUCAUGUGUCAGGGUAUUGGAGGGCAAGCCAAGAAAAAUCGAGCAAAAUAUUGUUUUUACAAUAUGAAGAUCUUAAGGAAGACAUCACUUCUCACCUAAAAAAGUUGGCAAUGUUUUUGGGGGUUCCUUUCACUGAGGAAGAAGAGAAACAAGGAGUUGUUGAAGAAAUUGCGAAAAUUUGCAGCUUUGAGAACAUGAAAGACUUGGAAGUGAAUAAGAAAGGUGAGCAAACUUUUGGGUAUCCACAAGAAACUUUCUCAGGGAAAACAAAGACUAUUGAGAUUCCACGUGAAGCUUUCUUCAGAAAAGCAAAAACGGGAGAUUGGAGCAAUUAUCUCACACCCUCCAUGGCUGAACGUCUAGAGAAACUUAUUCAAGAGAAAUUGGAAAACUCAAGUUUAACAUUUAAAUUGUUCUCUAAAACUUCAAAAGAUAUUACUUCUACAUGAUCAGGGAUGUAUGUCUAUUGGCGUUAAUUUAUGAUGAAUAAAUUCCAUAUUUGCAUGUAGAGAGUCUUUCCCUCGCAAAAUAAGGUUAUAUAAUAAUAUUGAGGUUAAGAUAUGCUUUUAGUCCCUAUAUUUAUCCAGAACUUGAGAUUAAGUUACUGUAUUUUAAAAGUAAAAAUUUUAAGCCUCUUACUUUUUCAAUUUAAAGAUUUUAAUCUAAUCAUUAUCAUUAUCAUUAUCAUUGUUUGUAAUUUCCGUCAAGACUUGUCAACUUAACAUGUUUAUAUUUUUGUCAGUCAUGUGCAAUGUCAUAAGAGGGCAAUCUAAUUAGCAUGACGAGUAGGCAAAUUUUGAUGAAAAAUACUAAUAAUGUUAAUGAUAGGAUUGAAAUUUUUAAAUAAAAAAUUAAAAGAAUUUCACCUUCAACUAUUUAAAUAAUUUUAAUCUUAUAUUUGUUUAAGUUUACGUUUUGAUCAUCGAUCUUUCAAGUGUUACAUAAAUGUCAUGGACAUUAUCGUUUGAUAACAAUUUAGUCACUAUAUCGUUACCCAUUGUUAUUUUAGCAAAGAUGCUAUAAUAAUACAUAAUCCAUAGCGAUUUGCAAGUUCAAAGGAUAUAAUCUUGCAUAUAUAUAUAUAUAUAUAUAUAUUAGUUUGUAUUUUGUGUGAUGCUUGAAUUGGUUGUGUAUAUUAAUUAUCCAGUUUUGUAACUUCCUUUUUCAAAAAUCUAUAAAGAGAAGUCCUCCACAACUAGUGGAGAGACCUUUGGAUAUUUUGGAAAUUUGACUCUCGAGCUCUAUCUAAAAUUCUCUCAACUUAUUAUUAUUUUUGUUUAGCUUUAUCAUCAAUCAGAUUUAGCUUUCUAUACCCUAUCAACCACCACCACUUGCUGUUGCGUUCAGUAUUACUAGAUUUACUCUAGUCUUUCUCUUCACCUUCUUUCAAUACAUCUCAUUUACUUGUCUGCAAUGUUUUCUCUAUCCAUUAAAAAAAUUCUCUACACACUAUUAAUGAUUUAAUAGAAUAAUAAUCAAAAUAUUGAAUGCGGAUAGCAUUAGAGACAAAAAUAAAUUUUUUUAGACUUGAAUGAUAAAUAAAACACUUUAAUUAAUAAUUAAGCGAAUACUGGUCUAUAUCUAAAAGUUAAAAAAAAUAAAAACAAAUUAUAUUAAUCAAAUAAUAUCUUAAAAAGGAAUUUAAUAAUGCAACCUUUUGGCUAAAGAUAAAGAUAAUUUCAGCAUUAAUGUUUAAUAAUGCAACCUUCUGGCAAAAGAUGAAGAUAAUUUCAGCAUUAAAGUUUAAUAAUGCAACCAUUCGGCUAAAGACGAAGAUAAUUUCAGUGGUGCAAGAUCUUCCGUAUCCCACAGCAUUAAAUUUUGAUUGCAUCUCCCAUUUGAUAAUAUAAAAUAAAGGGGAUGAUGACCCAAUUUUUAAACGUUUUUAUUUUAGGUAAUAAAAAAAGGUUUUUCAUUAUUUUAACUACUUCCAUUAAAAUUUUAAAUCAAAAUAUAUAUGAAAUUAUUUUUAAAAUUUUGAUUUUUCACACAAUUUUAAAAAAAUAAAAAUUUACCAUUUUAAUCUUCGAUCUUUUAAUAUAAGUGAGGUUUCUCAACAAAUUGGGAACAAUAACCACAUCAUCUAUCAAAUAUGGCCUCCUCUUUCAUCUGCUUCGUUGAUUAGAGCAAUGCGUCACCAUCAACGCUGACUUUUUGUAGUAGAGGUGACAAAAAAUCGAAAUAAAAAAUUAAAAGAUAGUAUAGAAACAUCAAAUUCAAAAAGAAAAAGAUUAAAAAUAUUAAAGACAAUGUCAAAGUUUCCAAGUCUACUAUUCCCCUCUUCACUUCAAGAUGAUUUACAAAUAAUUUUCUUUUAAAGUCAAUGCUUUUUCUCUUUUUUGUAAUAACUGUAAUAGUAAAGCUAGAAUUUUAUACAAAUUUUUGGAUUUUUUUAUAUCUGUGAAGAUUUAAGUUUUAGGCAUGGGUUAUUUUUUUGGAUACUGUUGUUAAGUGCUUUGAAUGGUUGCCAAUUCCCCCAUGCCUCUAAUAUUUGCAUAAGAACAAUGAAAACCCUAACUAUUAUAUGCCACAAUUAUUACUAGUUAAGGAAGCAAAGCAUGCUAUUUAUGCCCUAAAGACAUUAGAAUUUACUGUGAAUUUUUUACAGAGGAUAUGGUUGUUGUUCUCAAUUUGUUAAGGUGAGGUAAACCUCAUUUAUAUAAAAAGAUUGGGACUAAAAUGAUGAUUUUUAUUUCAUUUAAAUAUGUGAAAAAUCAAAAUUUUAGAAAUAAUUUCACGUUAGAUCUCUAUUUAUCAUUUUAACAAGAGUAAUUAAACUGAUCCAACCAGUGUAACUAUUUUUUCGGAUGCUUAUCUUUAAAACUUUUGAAAAUGAGGCGUUUACCCUAAAAUAAAUUAUUAAAGCAUAAAAUAUUUGAUAUGGUCUUUUUUGGUCCGCCCCACAAAACUUGCUAUAUAAAUAGAAAACUAGUUUUGAAUGUUGUUUUCCUUAUCCCUUUCUCGACCAACUACUUGUUUCACCAUGGAUAAAAUAGAUAUGAGCAACCCCAGCAUGGUUUCCACCUCCCAUGAUGUUGAGGAGUCUUGGGAUGAUGAAUUCCAACAACUGGUGCAAACCUUCCCUAAAGAUAAAAGCUUCACAGGAAUGAAUCUUUACUUCUUCCAAGGUUUCUGGUGUCCAUCAAUUGUUCUAAAAGCUGUGAUUUCUUGUCAGAAACAUUUCCAAGCAUUUGAUUCUGAUAUUAUCAUCGCAACUUUGCCAAAAUGUGGCACUACUUGGCUUAAAGCUUUGACUUUCUCCACUUUGUACCGCAAUCAGUUCGCAAGGGAAAAUAAUCCCUUGCUCACCUAUAACCCUCACUCUCUUGUUCGCUUCAUUGAUUAUGACUUCUAUUUCAACGACACUUGUCCUGAUCUCGAAAAUUGUACUCUUUAUCAGCCAAGACUUUUUUCUAUCCACUUGCCUUAUGCUUCUUUGCCAACUUCCAUUAAAAAUUCCAACUGUAAGAUUGUUUACUUAUGUAGAAACCCCAUGGACACGCUCAUUUCUUUUUGGUCUUUCUUUUCCAGGCUUCGAG
RNAcentral lists this long non-coding RNA (7964 nucleotides) under Gossypium raimondii (Peruvian cotton). RNAcentral's name for it is "long non-coding RNA (GRAI_LNC005679)". The record is from RNAcentral. Lineage: Eukaryota; Viridiplantae; Streptophyta; Magnoliopsida; Malvales; Malvaceae.